Hipposideros armiger (great roundleaf bat) is the source of this 6530-nucleotide long non-coding RNA. RefSeq lists it as uncharacterized. NCBI's taxonomy places the organism in Eukaryota, Metazoa, Chordata, Mammalia, Chiroptera, Hipposideridae. The transcript has 9 exons. The record is from RefSeq and is a predicted model, not a curated record.
UGCAGCUGAUCGAGUUCACCCAGUGGCCGAGCGAGUGAGCGCUCCUCGGACUUGGGUGAAGAAAGGCACGGAAAAGUAUCCUGGAGGAGAAGUUGGCGAUUUUAGGGGUGGGGUGGGGAUAGGGGCGAGGGAGUGGGGGAUCCUCAAAUUAUUCCGCUUUUAAAAUGAUCAUAGGUAGUGUCAAGAAUACAUGUAUGUCUCCCUUGCUUCUUUGUGAAGGGGCGGUGGAUAAGAAAAUACAGGUAGGCUUGGGAUUAAAAUAAUAGGUGCCAGAGGUUUCACACCGGCUCCGUUGCAUCGGGUAUUACAAGACCAGCAUUGGCUAAGUCCUAGUCAACCUCCCGUCAAAAUUAUUAGGAAGAAGAAUCUUUGCCCGUGGUUACCUCUAACUACGUUAUUUGGAUGGUAGGUACAGCAGCCUUAAAGAAAAUGUUAACAAACAUUACCUCGCGAUUACCCCUCACUCACUCACCCCAGAAUAAUCAAAGAGAAGAGGGUUCAUACAGGAUUUACGCCGUUUUGACGCCUGGGUAACAAACUUUAAGAUUUAAUAGGUAAGAAAUUUCAAACGCUUACAUUCCGGGCUUCAACGUAAAGCCAUAGAACAUUCACUUUGGUUUGACAUUUCUUGGAUGAAAAAUAACCACCAAGAUGUCUUUAGAUAAUGUGGCUCUUGAAGAGCUCUUUGGGGUUUGCAAGUUACAAAUGCUAAGGAGGGCGCCUCCGGCCAAAGCUUAGAACGUCUCUGUCUCCCGGCACAGUAAACGGCUUUUAAUAAGGCAACCGCAUUUAUUACUUAAAGAUCCUAUAAAAGCUAGGAUUUGCAAGGACUGCGAAGCAGAAAUCUUCAUACCUAAGUCGAUUAGACACUCAUUUUCUUAGGUAGGAUGGGGACAAGUAUUAUUGGUGUGUCGCUCGAAUUUAAUCAGAUCAAAGGUUGAAUCAUGUUGCCUCGUGACAACAGGGUGUUUAUGAGGUGUGUUACAAGUACUAGGGCUGAACACCACUACCACCACUCUCUCACACACACACACACACACACACACACACACACACACACACACACACACCCCUUUCCUAGGACAUUUACCAUUGCAGCCUCAAAUUCAUCACACUGUGAAGUCUUCUCUUGGAAUAAGAAUAGCGAUUGAAAAUAUGUCCAAGUCUAUAUACCCUGUAGGAAACUUUUGGCACGAGAUUCAAACUUUGAAAAGAAAAAAAAAAAUCAGGUCGGCCAGGUUAGGUGUCCGAGAUAAAGAAAGAAACUUGGCUUGAGCGUCCCCAGACUUCACUCUCUCCACUCCGUUACUGAAACAACAUAGACUCAUGCAAACACGCCACUCACACUUCCAGCGAUCGGCUAUUGUAUCAAAUGUUCUAAUCGAGAUGUGACCAUUUAGGCUCGGGACAGAAACAAUCUAUCAACGUGCCCAUUAGAUGCAGGGUGGAAUACUGUUUCUAUUGGUUGGGUCCUUUCGAGGUAAGCGGGUGUACGGAGCAGGGGGAUUUGGGUUCGGUGAACGGAUCAAGGCUACUUCCUUUCUUCUUUUUCCUCCUAUUAUUUUCUUGAAGUAUCCCAGUUUGUGCUUAUGUUAAAGCCAGCCCAGACGUACACUAGUAGGAGUAAAGGAUGUAUGCCCUCUGCACCUUAAAACCAUCUGCUUAGUUUUGACAUUUGAAAGGGAGGAGGGCGGGUAAGGAGGAGGGGGAGAAGGGGGAAGAAAGGAAGCUGAGAGAGAGAAAAGAUUCAGACUUUGGAAGGAAUGGCUUGAACUGCAGCCCACAAGUUUAUGUCAAUUGCACCUAGCGCUCGAUGCAGGUUUUGUACAUACUACGCUCGGGAACUGAUGGCGGGAAAAGUUCCCUGUGAGCCCCAGUAAGUCCUUUAUCACUCCCCCCUGGAAGGCAGGCCCGAGUCGAAGUCGGGGUAGCCCGUUUGGCAAACAAGAAAGCGCCCCCACCCCCAGCCUCAGCGGCGGAGGCUCGCGGCUCGCCACGCUCGGCGGUGGCAGUUCGCAGCCCGCUUUAGGGCGCAGGAACUGCUGGUUGGAAUAGGAGCGCGCGCGACGCUGGGCGAGCGAGCUCAGUCCGCAGCCCGGUUCCGCGAACCGCUUACGCAGAGCCCUGUCCUGUCCCCUACUGUCGGGACGAUGGACAGGCCAGGCUCUUGGGCAACCUCUCUGGCCAGCGCCGCGGCGCUCUCGCGGGUCUCACGCCGCACUGGAGCAAGGCGUGAGGCCUGAGCCCCUUAUCUCCGGCGGCUCCGGGUUUGUUUUUCUGAUAGGGGAGAAGCGAUCAGUCAGCCGGGAGACGACAAGUCGCCUAGAUAUUGGCUCCAUUUCUGAAACCAGCGGCCAAGCCUAGGGGGUCAAUCCUUUCUCCAACCCACUGCCAGCACAACCCCAAUAAUUUAAAAGUUAACCCAAGUUCUGACCGAUCCUCAACAAACCCCAUCCGUGCAGGCUGCGUUUCCUUAUUUAUCUGAAGGGCGAUCUGUGUGUUCUUAGUCAAAUUUGAAGUAAUCACUUGUGCAUCUGCUUCUGGGUUAAAAACACUUCACCUUGAUAUUUCUUCGAUGUAGUUCCCCCCUCCUGUUCUUUCUUAAAGCCGUUAGGUGGGAGUAAAAGGGAAGAUUGCCUAUAAGUAAUUUAAAACCUUGCAAACUAUCGUCAUCAGAUCCUAAACAAACCAAUUCUGGGAAUUUCAACCAGAUCCAAUUGCGAGACAAACGUGGGCGUGAAUUUAGGAGAAGGAUCCUGGAGAUCUUGCCUGGACACACAUACCACCAGCCACCACCCUAAAGAGAGGAAGAGAAAGAAAGAGAAGCCAACUCCAGGGUGCAGGCCGGCCUGCUUGAGGCUGUCUAGAGUCAGAUUAACUGACCUCCAUAUUCGUGUCUCUCUCUCUCUCUCUCUCUCUCUCUCUCUCUCUCUCUCUCUCUCUCACUCUCCCUCUGCCCCUGUGCCCAGCGUGACGCCAAGCUCAACCUGGAUUUGCUCUGAAUGUUUGAAUGAGGGGAAAGUGACAUACCACAAGAUCAGUGGCGAUAGCAGCUGCAGAGUUUCUCUCCUGGGAACCCCACUGCUUAGAAACCUCCCGAGUGAUGUUUGUUUCACCAACAGCUUUCAAAGUGAACAAAAGCGCAUCACUCCAAAGAAGUUGAAAUAUAACCCUUACAAGAAUUUGGGGUCAGGGUGCUGGCAGAGAAAGUAAUUUUUAAAAAUAAUAAAGCCCCCCACCACCCGAAUAAGGGUCCAUCACAACGCCUAAAGGACCCUAGAAUAGUCAUCGGUCCAUCAAUUCAUCGAAAGGAUUCAUGACCAAAAAGUGACCUCGAAGAUCACUCUUUCCUCACAAACCACACGCCUGCGGGGAGAGGGGGCUGGCGGUCAGAAAGUGAAGGGGCACACUAUACUACCUGAUUUUAUGGAAGCGAGAGAAAACAAUCAAAAGGAGAGGCAAGCAUUCUUCGCUUUCAAUAGGACAGAAGCGCUCCUUGGCAGUGGAACCCUCCUGGUCUGGUGAGGGAGGAACAACGGACUGUUCUGUACACAGGCGUCACCCAAAACUUCCUCCGUUCACACUGAGGAAAGAACUUGGGCAGGGGCUGUGGAUUCCCGUUAUCUAAGGAGGAUUCUGACUGUGGGAGCCAAUCAGAAGCUGGACAACCUUGAGGUCACCCAUAUAUAGAAGAUGUAGAGCCACUACAUAGAAGGAACCUGGAUUUCUGAAUGACUGUUUGAAGGAGCCCAGGACAGCUGCCCAACCAGGAAUAUCCAUGUUAGACUCUUUGGUCCCAUGGGAACAGAAAGUUUUGAGGGAGUUUACUGUUUGUGCAAGAUGACUGGUUGGGUAGAGAAGUCCAAAGUUUACUAUCUGCAGAACAAAUAAAGCCUGGGCAAAGGGAAGUUGAAGAGAACUGGAUGGAACUUAAGCCUGACAAGUCCUGGCAGUCCUUUCUGUAGACAGCAGCCUCUUGGAGCAUCACAAAAUAAUGGAAGGAAUUUGGGUUCCUGAGUCACCACCUGGAAGAGAGCCUCCAAGGACAGCUGCCAGACUUGCAUCGGAUAGCAAUGUGAGGGAGAAGUGAACCUAUGUGUGAGAUUACUGAGACUGUUAUUACAGCAACUGGUAUUUAUUGCUCUAAUACAGAAAUUGGUAUCACAAAUGGGAUAUUGGCAUAACCAAGUCGUACUCCCUGACUGUUACACUCUCCUAAAUAUGUAUCAUUACUCUAGUAAUGCAGCUGUAGGCAGAAAGGAAACUCAUACCAGAAAAUGGAAAGAUGGACACUCGGGUUAUGCAGUGAAAAAUCAUUUGGUAUAACUAUCGCCUGCUAUUAAUUAGAAGGCAGUCAUAUGCAUAGUUUAUAUCUUUAGGGGAAAUGGUUAGAAACAGGAUUUUAGCAGUGUUUUUGGCUAAACUUAAUAUGUAUUACAAGGAAGAGAUAACUCAGGAAAGAAUCCACGAGCUUGCAAGCAGAAAUAAAAUAGAAUAGAGAGCCCAGCAAUUUGAGCUGUAGGAUCGAAAAUCAUAAAUUCAUUAUAGACUCAGUAAGACAUGGUACCAAAAAAGGGCUUUAAGUGACAAAUAUGCAGUAAAAGUUCUCAGUGGGAUGCAGUUAUUUGAGGCAAAAAUCAAAGUAGGGGUAUGGCCUUCCCACUAUUGCUUCUGAUAGCCUCAGUGUAUUUAGCAAAGAGAGUGAAAGGCAUGGAGGUAAAGAGGCAAAGAAAAAGGGUAGAUUUGAUAACAAUGUCUAGAAAAUAACUCUGGGUGUGGCUACUGUCAUAUGGACCUGACUCGAAGAAAUGUAUCAUAAGUCAUCUACAUUUUUGAGAAUCACAUUGCCAAAGAAACCAGGAGCUUGGACUUGAAAAGUCCUUGCUUGUUCAAGGCUUAAAACAAUUCUUGACUUCCCAACCCAUUCUAGACUGAGGAGAAGCCAAACUCUUAGAGCUGCUCUGUUCUGAAGGAAGAACGUUCUCUGAAACCGACUUCGUAUGUGGCCAUAGAGAAGAACAAGUAAGGGAGUCGGUCCUAGAGCUAACUUCGCACACAUUCACCAUGCCCAGAGCCAGAGGGUAUGGGUUUCACAGUGCUGACCCUGAGGGGCGUCUGCCUGGCUGUGGACCAUGAUGCUCCAUGUUGUCUAUGAUGUUUCCUGGCAAAUGGGAUUAUUUUCCUGUCCUUUCCCCACCAUUAUGAAUGAGUGUUGGUGGGGAAGCAGAGUGCAGAUAACUUGUCUUUUUAAUAUGUGGGCUGCCACACCUAGAGGAACCACAUCAGGCUGGUGGAGAAGAUGGCGCAUCACCCGGAUAUUCUGGACAUUGACCUGGAAGUGGUGCCUGGAUGGGACUUUGCAUUGUCUUCUUGGGUGAGCUGGAAGCAAAGGACUCCAAGAUGGAUGAGCCACAUGAUGGAAGGAGCCCAACCUACACCAGAUGUCCAUGAGAGAAGAGAAGAAGCAAAGAGACCUGGCCCUGAUCUGUAUGAGUUCAGUAGCUGGGAGAGACCACGUAAAGUUAUAAAGAACACGAGGUGAUAAACACAAACGAUCCUUCAGCAUCCUGCUCCCUGCUCAGCUUGUCACGCGCAGCGGGAAGACAAACAGUCGACAUUGUUUUUGAGGUGAAAAUCUUGAACAGUCACUGCUUUGCUCUCAGAGCCAAUGCUGGGGAGCCUGGGGGAACCAGUGUCACUGCUUCGGGUUUGCUUCUGACUCAAACAGCGGAGAAAACUUCUCACACAAAGAAUUGAGAAACUUCCGGUUCUGAGGUGAACCUGUCACAGCAGCAGCUCUUGUCAGUGUGGUUGGUACAGGACCCUACUCUGCAAACCCAGGUUACAUCUGUGCGUGUGGUGGCGAAUGCCUUGCGGUGAGGUCGGAGGAAGAGGAGACUGCUCCCUGCAAUCAAGUAGACACAAAACCUCUGUUCUUUGGUUUCCCUUCACAAUCUCAGAACAACCAGCGAAAUCAGGAACAGUGGACUAGAAGUGGGGAGCUUCACACUUGUUAGGCAACACAUAGGAAAAACAACAAAAUCGUUUGAUGGGUGGCCUCCAAUCAAUGCUUGCAAAAUUAAAAAGGAAACUCUAACUGGUUAUUUAUUUUCUUGCAGAUCCUAAGCUCCCAGCUAUUUUGCUAAAGGAGCUCAAUGUAAGGAAAAACUCUAAGGAUUGGCUCAUUCAUUUUCCUGUUUUAGGGGGAAGACUGAGGUGGUGGAGGGGUGGUACGUGGAGGUGGGUACGGUGCACACCUGCCUUCACACUUUUUCUUCAAGGUGCAUCUUGCUGGACUAAUCUCUAAAGAGCCAUACUUAGUGGUAUAUUUGCUUAAGGAACUCCAGCAAAUUGAUAUCCUUUUUCCAUUCACAUACUAUUGAGAGACUUUUAGCCAUCUCUUAUUUGAACUUAAUGCCUAAUACAACUUCAUUACAUAAGGUUCUGUGAUAUUUAAGCAGAUUUCAUUUUUAAUUUUUUUUGUUUGUUUUAGCAUUUUGGUCUCUUGCUUGUAACUUUGGGAAGAUCGU